Dipodomys ordii (Ord's kangaroo rat) is the source of this 83-nucleotide small nucleolar RNA. The record is from Ensembl. Lineage: Eukaryota; Metazoa; Chordata; Mammalia; Rodentia; Heteromyidae.
GGCCUGUGAUGAACUGCUUAGACUUCUGACACCUCGUCUGAACGCUGCACGCGCAGCCUGAUGACGUAGCAGUACUGAGGCCG